Molecule: ribosomal RNA, 429 nt
Filed under: Bacillota bacterium
Lineage: Bacteria; Bacillati; Bacillota
Description: Firmicutes bacterium partial 16S ribosomal RNA
Rfam family: Bacterial small subunit ribosomal RNA
Source: RNAcentral
UGGGGAAUAUUGGACAAUGGGCGAAAGCCUGAUCCAGCCAUGCCGCGUGUGUGAAGAAGGUCUUCGGAUUGUAAAGCACUUUAAGUUGGGAGGAAGGGCAGUAAGCGAAUACCUUGCUGUUUUGACGUUACCGACAGAAUAAGCACCGGCUAACUCUGUGCCAGCAGCCGCGGUAAUACAGAGGGUGCAAGCGUUAAUCGGAAUUACUGGGCGUAAAGCGCGCGUAGGUGGUUCGUUAAGUUGGAUGUGAAAGCCCCGGGCUCAACCUGGGAACUGCAUCCAAAACUGGCGGGCUAGAGUAGGGCAGAAGGUGGUGGAAUUUCCUGUGUAGCGGUGAAAUGCGUAGAUAUAGGAAGGAACACCAGUGGCGAAGGCGACCACCUGGGCUCAUACUGACACUGAGGUGCGAAAGCGUGGGGAGCAAACAGG